AGGCUCAUAUGGAGUUGUUGCUUCUUUAAUUUGCAAAUGCUUAAAUUUAAGAAGCAAUUUCUCAAUAUAAUUUGUUCCAUCAAAUUUGCCUAACUUAUAGACAUCUUCUUGAUUGAUAACCUUCAUAGCCAUGCUAUCAGAUUUGAUCUCCAUGACGAAUAACACUUUAAGAUUGUUGAGUAAAAACUUAAAUAUGAAGAAGGACUU
This 207-nucleotide long non-coding RNA is filed under the name Prunus persica (peach). RNAcentral describes it as "long non-coding RNA (PPER_LNC003824)". The record is from RNAcentral. Lineage: Eukaryota; Viridiplantae; Streptophyta; Magnoliopsida; Rosales; Rosaceae.